CUAGGAUCCCCUCUGUCACUGCACACAGGUGAAGGGCCUCUGACAGUUACCCCGUGACCCUGGCCAAUGCCUGUCUGCUCUGUAGAGAUGGUGCAGCCGAGGACACUCAGGCUGGUGAGGAUGAGCCAUCUGAGAUGGCCCCCUCCUGUUCAGAAAGAGCACAUGCUGCAUGUUGUCUGAUGUACCAUAUCGCAAGCGAUUUCACACAGCUGUGCACACAGGUGUGACCAUCUGGACAAUGCCUCAGAGCUCUCAUCACUAUGAAACUAUUUCUACAGCAUCAAGGUGGCUCCUUUGCAGCAUGAGAAAACAUUUCCAUUCAGUUCUUGCAACCAAGACAUCACCCAACAGCAAUGGGGUGUUUUAGUUCUAUAUUGCUAGCUCAAAUGCAAGAAGCCUGUGGGGAGGGAUGCAUGCUAUAUAGCCAACAAUGCCAUAUACAAAAUCAACCCACUGAAGCCUUUUUUCAUCUCACUCAUCAAAAAAAGAACAGUGAACAUAAAUCUAAUGAGAUCAGGGACCCGAAAACCGGCAUGUUUCCCAAAAUACACGUCGGAUUAUCACAAACACAAAAGGCUCACGAACAUAAGAACUGUGCAGAUAAACGUGUUUCUUGCACAUAUUUUAAAGGCUCGUUGUUUUAUUUCCCUUUGUGAUUACUUAUUCAUUUGUUUGUUGAUUUAUUUUUCAUCGCCUUGGGUGCAGAGGGUAUGUGUUUGAUGUGCUCCCAUGGCAGUCUUUACUAAAGGGGGAGGAAGGCUGCUGCAGCAUUCAGGUCAAAGGGAGGAGAAAGAGACAUGUCUGCUUAUUUGCGGCUGCAUUAUAAAAGCCUGUGAUUAAUCCUUUGAGGCGAUGAAAAGGAUAUAAAAAACUUUAAGGUGAGAUCAGGGCUGCAGAGGAAGAGCUCAUUGUAAAAGCUGUCUUUGCAGGCAUGCGUGAGUGGUGGCACAAUGAAGCACAAUCUCCACAUGCUGAUGCUCCUUGCAGCACUCUGAUAGUUGACCUCUCACCAUUCUGCAGGAGGGAGA
Thunnus maccoyii (southern bluefin tuna) is the source of this 1028-nucleotide long non-coding RNA. RefSeq lists it as uncharacterized. The transcript is spliced from 4 exons. Lineage: Eukaryota; Metazoa; Chordata; Actinopteri; Scombriformes; Scombridae. The record is from RefSeq and is a predicted model, not a curated record.